This 177-nucleotide microRNA precursor is filed under the name Brassica oleracea var. oleracea. Its description in RNAcentral is "pre miRNA MIR164". The record is from RNAcentral. Lineage: Eukaryota; Viridiplantae; Streptophyta; Magnoliopsida; Brassicales; Brassicaceae.
GUGUGGGUGACGUGGAAGAUCUGCACGUGUGUAAUGGCUCCAUGACAUGACUUGAUAAAUUUCUUGAUAAAAGACUCCUUAUGAUCCUCUCAGCUAUUUAUACUCUCAGCUAACCCUUAUUCCUCACACAUACUCGUGAGCCAUUACACACGUGCAGAUCUUCCACGUCACCAACAC